GCGGCGGCGAGAGCCAGUCAAGGGCGCUCCGGAGAGUUGCCGCCAUCUUUGGGCUGCCCGCCCCCGCCCCACGGAGGAAGGGGCGCGACUAGGUGUCUUCGGAUUCCUGCGCGGUGCUAGGUUCUGAGGGGCAGGGGAACGUCGCCUCAGUUUGAGCCUAGGGUGGGGCAGGGCCUCGUCAUUGCCUCUACGGGGCGCUGGGGGUACCCAGUGACGGGGUGGUAGGGGGGAGGGGAAGACGGUGUAGACACCUUUGAUGAAUGGAGACCCUGCUGAGGCUUGAUGGCAGCUGCAACCGCACCUUCCUCGGCCUCCCUGACUGGCCCUCCCGGAGGCGUCCCUAAUCCGGGUCCCGACAAGGUACCCAGGGUCGGAGUCUGCGCACUUGUCUUUUGCCUGCGAAUCUCGCCACGCGGGAGCAGUCCGGGAGGACGUCCUUACAGCCCAAGACAUUUUCCGGAGAGUGUCGUGGGAAGUUGGCCCGUCGCAAUCUGGAAAUGCUGUAGUCCUUUGGAGUUACUAGGGGCACAUGCCCCAGGCCGGGGAGUAGCUGCCCCCCUCUCUGUGACCCAAAGGUACCAGCGUGAAAAGGUUCCAGUGUCUCAGGUGGGUCCAGAACAAGGUGGCUCCUGCUACAGGCCCUGAUGAACCCCAGCCUGGUCAUACUCAGAAAAUCGAAACCAAUGCACGCUUCCUGGGAGUUCACCCAGAUUCUGCACACACGAUUGGGAGCUGACGCUUGCCUCCAACCUCUGCUCAAGGCCAUUCCAGGAUGGCUGCCCUGGAGAGAAGGUCUUAUGUUGGGUGAAAUGGAAUGAAAUUCAUGAUCCUAGCUUCCAAUAUGGCAAGGCAAGCAGGAACACAAUGAGCUCUCUUUCCCAAGGCCACUGGGAUAGGGAACAGAUCAGAACUGACCUGGCCUUGACCACACAGAAGACACACAAUCUCUCAGUCAGGGUCGGGUCACCUGGGAAUAUACCCCAUCUGAAGAAGCAGAAAUGGGGUGGACAAGACUUUCGAUGUGGGGGACAAGAAGAGCAAAGGUGUGUGAGCAGGAAAGCCCCAGGCAUGUUUGAAGACAGUGAGCCAUCUGCUGUGUGGGGUCAGAGUGUUGGACACUGGUUAGACUGCUCCACGGAGGCCAACAUGCCAGGCUGGAAGGCCCAAAUUCUUCACAUUCAAGCAGAAGGUCUUUGAUGGCCUGGGACCUGUUCAAAGUCUGACCAUUCAAAGUCACACACAAAGCCUGUUAAAGAGCUAUGAGGACCCACAAACAAGGUGAUGGAAGUCCUGUCUACCUCAGGAAUUCCUGAGCCAUUGAAAUUGAGUAAUCAUUAUUGAGCACCUACUAUAAACCCAGUCCUGUUGCUAGGUGUGGUUGUCAGAUUUAUCUCUCUUAAUCUGUACAACUAAUCUUUGUCAUUCUGCUUUUAGAAACUGAGGAAACUGGGCCUCAGAGUGUUGGGAUCCUUACACCUCCAAUUUCUAGCUGUGUGACAUCAGCCAUAUUACUCUGCCUUUCAGUGCUUCCCUUACCUUAUAUAUAAACAGGGUGUAAUACCCAUAACAUCAACAUAAUUUCAAGGAUAAAAUGAUUUACUACAUUGAAGCACUCAAUCUCAUGCCUGACAUACGAAUAUACUGAACUCUCAAUAAAUAUCAGUUAUUGUUUUCUGUAAUGUGACACUUCAUGAUGACCUGAUUAAUGUCUUCCCACCUCUCACUAUGCUCUGAGAUACAUAAAGACAGAGGCCUUCUCAGGUUGUACUCACCAUACCCAAGUACAUGCCUGUAACAGUAAGAUCUUGGGAUGAAUAAAAGAAUAAGGCUAUGA
Long non-coding RNA from Hipposideros armiger (great roundleaf bat), 1834 nucleotides. RefSeq lists it as uncharacterized. The record is from RefSeq and is a predicted model, not a curated record. The transcript has 3 exons. NCBI's taxonomy places the organism in Eukaryota, Metazoa, Chordata, Mammalia, Chiroptera, Hipposideridae.